UUCGCAGCCCCAGAGACUGAAUACAGAGGACAGAUACAACACAGAAAGCAGCAGUGCAAGCUUCCCACAGACUGCCCCAUGAGGGCCCCACUGGAGCUGAGCUAGAGGACCAGGGGACAGAUUGGUCUCCCUGCCUUGGGAAUGCCCAGAAAGC
RNAcentral lists this small RNA (154 nucleotides) under Chelonoidis abingdonii (Abingdon island giant tortoise). RNAcentral's name for it is "TUC338 (ENSCABG00000000472.1)". The record is from RNAcentral. Lineage: Eukaryota; Metazoa; Chordata; Testudines; Testudinidae.